Molecule: ribosomal RNA, 2641 nt
Filed under: Escherichia coli
Lineage: Bacteria; Pseudomonadati; Pseudomonadota; Gammaproteobacteria; Enterobacterales; Enterobacteriaceae
Description: partial 23S ribosomal RNA
Rfam family: Bacterial large subunit ribosomal RNA
Source: RNAcentral
AGCCCAGAGCCUGAAUCAGUGUGUGUGUUAGUGGAAGCGUCUGGAAAGGCGCGCGAUACAGGGUGACAGCCCCGUACACAAAAAUGCACAUGCUGUGAGCUCGAUGAGUAGGGCGGGACACGUGGUAUCCUGUCUGAAUAUGGGGGGACCAUCCUCCAAGGCUAAAUACUCCUGACUGACCGAUAGUGAACCAGUACCGUGAGGGAAAGGCGAAAAGAACCCCGGCGAGGGGAGUGAAAAAGAACCUGAAACCGUGUACGUACAAGCAGUGGGAGCCUCUUAAUGGGGUGACUGCGUACCUUUUGUAUAAUGGGUCAGCGACUUAUAUUCUGUAGCAAGGUUAACCGAAUAGGGGAGCCGAAGGGAAACCGAGUCUUAACUGGGCGUUAAGUUGCAGGGUAUAGACCCGAAACCCGGUGAUCUAGCCAUGGGCAGGUUGAAGGUUGGGUAACACUAACUGGAGGACCGAACCGACUAAUGUUGAAAAAUUAGCGGAUGACUUGUGGCUGGGGGUGAAAGGCCAAUCAAACCGGGAGAUAGCUGGUUCUCCCCGAAAGCUAUUUAGGUAGCGCCUCGUGAAUUCAUCUCCGGGGGUAGAGCACUGUUUCGGCAAGGGGGUCAUCCCGACUUACCAACCCGAUGCAAACUGCGAAUACCGGAGAAUGUUAUCACGGGAGACACACGGCGGGUGCUAACGUCCGUCGUGAAGAGGGAAACAACCCAGACCGCCAGCUAAGGUCCCAAAGUCAUGGUUAAGUGGGAAACGAUGUGGGAAGGCCCAGACAGCCAGGAUGUUGGCUUAGAAGCAGCCAUCAUUUAAAGAAAGCGUAAUAGCUCACUGGUCGAGUCGGCCUGCGCGGAAGAUGUAACGGGGCUAAACCAUGCACCGAAGCUGCGGCAGCGACGCUUAUGCGUUGUUGGGUAGGGGAGCGUUCUGUAAGCCUGCGAAGGUGUGCUGUGAGGCAUGCUGGAGGUAUCAGAAGUGCGAAUGCUGACAUAAGUAACGAUAAAGCGGGUGAAAAGCCCGCUCGCCGGAAGACCAAGGGUUCCUGUCCAACGUUAAUCGGGGCAGGGUGAGUCGACCCCUAAGGCGAGGCCGAAAGGCGUAGUCGAUGGGAAACAGGUUAAUAUUCCUGUACUUGGUGUUACUGCGAAGGGGGGACGGAGAAGGCUAUGUUGGCCGGGCGACGGUUGUCCCGGUUUAAGCGUGUAGGCUGGUUUUCCAGGCAAAUCCGGAAAAUCAAGGCUGAGGCGUGAUGACGAGGCACUACGGUGCUGAAGCAACAAAUGCCCUGCUUCCAGGAAAAGCCUCUAAGCAUCAGGUAACAUCAAAUCGUACCCCAAACCGACACAGGUGGUCAGGUAGAGAAUACCAAGGCGCUUGAGAGAACUCGGGUGAAGGAACUAGGCAAAAUGGUGCCGUAACUUCGGGAGAAGGCACGCUGAUAUGUAGGUGAAGCGACUUGCUCGUGGAGCUGAAAUCAGUCGAAGAUACCAGCUGGCUGCAACUGUUUAUUAAAAACACAGCACUGUGCAAACACGAAAGUGGACGUAUACGGUGUGACGCCUGCCCGGUGCCGGAAGGUUAAUUGAUGGGGUUAGCGGUAACGCGAAGCUCUUGAUCGAAGCCCCGGUAAACGGCGGCCGUAACUAUAACGGUCCUAAGGUAGCGAAAUUCCUUGUCGGGUAAGUUCCGACCUGCACGAAUGGCGUAAUGAUGGCCAGGCUGUCUCCACCCGAGACUCAGUGAAAUUGAACUCGCUGUGAAGAUGCAGUGUACCCGCGGCAAGACGGAAAGACCCCGUGAACCUUUACUAUAGCUUGACACUGAACAUUGAGCCUUGAUGUGUAGGAUAGGUGGGAGGCUUUGAAGUGUGGACGCCAGUCUGCAUGGAGCCGACCUUGAAAUACCACCCUUUAAUGUUUGAUGUUCUAACGUUGGCCCCUGAUCGGGGUUGCGGACAGUGUCUGGUGGGUAGUUUGACUGGGGCGGUCUCCUCCUAAAGAGUAACGGAGGAGCACGAAGGUUGGCUAAUCCUGGUCGGACAUCAGGAGGUUAGUGCAAUGGCAUAAGCCAGCUUGACUGCGAGCGUGACGGCGCGAGCAGGUGCGAAAGCAGGUCAUAGUGAUCCGGUGGUUCUGAAUGGAAGGGCCAUCGCUCAACGGAUAAAAGGUACUCCGGGGAUAACAGGCUGAUACCGCCCAAGAGUUCAUAUCGACGGCGGUGUUUGGCACCUCGAUGUCGGCUCAUCACAUCCUGGGGCUGAAGUAGGUCCCAAGGGUAUGGCUGUUCGCCAUUUAAAGUGGUACGCGAGCUGGGUUUAGAACGUCGUGAGACAGUUCGGUCCCUAUCUGCCGUGGGCGCUGGAGAACUGAGGGGGGCUGCUCCUAGUACGAGAGGACCGGAGUGGACGCAUCACUGGUGUUCGGGUUGUCAUGCCAAUGGCACUGCCCGGUAGCUAAAUGCGGAAGAGAUAAGUGCUGAAAGCAUCUAAGCACGAAACUUGCCCCGAGAUGAGUUCUCCCUGACUCCUUGAGAGUCCUGAAGGAACGUUGAAGACGACGACGUUGAUAGGCCGGGUGUGUAAGCGCAGCGAUGCGUUGAGCUAACCGGUACUAAUGAACCGUGAGGCUUAACCUU